RNAcentral lists this ribosomal RNA (206 nucleotides) under uncultured bacterium. RNAcentral describes it as "partial 16S ribosomal RNA". It matches the Rfam family "Bacterial small subunit ribosomal RNA", at positions 568 to 774 of the family's 1533-position model. The record is from RNAcentral.
CGCGUAGGCGGCCCGGUAAGUCCGCUCUGAAAGUCCAGGGCUCAACCCUGGAAUGCGGGUGGAUACUGCCGGGCUCGAGUCCGGAAGAGGCGAGUGGAAUUCCUGGUGUAGCGGUGGAAUGCGCAGAUAUCAGGAGGAACACCAAUAGCGAAGGCAGCUCGCUGGGACGGUACUGACGCUAAGGCGCGAAAGCGUGGGAGCAAACA